This 253-nucleotide ribosomal RNA is filed under the name uncultured bacterium. RNAcentral's name for it is "partial 16S ribosomal RNA". It matches the Rfam family "Bacterial small subunit ribosomal RNA", at positions 524 to 776 of the family's 1533-position model. The record is from RNAcentral.
UACGUAGGGUCCGAGCGUUGUCCGGAAUUACUGGGCGUAAAGAGCUCGUAGGUGGUUUGUCGCGUUGUCCGUGAAAACUCACAGCUUAACUGUGGGCGUGCGGGCGAUACGGGCAGACUGGAGUACUGCAGGGGAGACUGGAAUUCCUGGUGUAGCGGUGGAAUGCGCAGAUAUCAGGAGGAACACCAAUAGCGAAGGCAGCUCGCUGGGACGUUACUGACACUGAGGCGCGAAAGCGUGGGGAGCGAACAGG